GACGAACGCUGGCGGCGUGCUUAACACAUGCAAGUCGAACGGGAUGACUUAGAUGCUUGCUUUUAGAGAAUUUAGUGGCACACGGGUGAGUCACACGUAGACAACCUGCCGCCAGGAUAGGGACAACAUUACGAGAGGAAAGCUCCUACCGAAUGCAGUCAGAGGAUGGCAUCCUUCUCUGAUGAACGAUGGCCUCUGAAUAUGCUAUCACUUGUUGGUGGGUUUGCGUCUGAUUAGCUAGCUGGUGAGGUAACGGCUCACCAAGGCGACGUUCAGUAGCCGGUCGGAGAGGAUGGACGGCCACAAUGGGACGGAGACACGGCCCAGACGCCUACGGGAGCGAGCAAGGGGGAAUCGGCCGGAAGGGGCGGAAGCCUGACGGAACAACGCCGCAGGAGGGAAGAAGGGCGUCGGGUCGGAAAGGUCGGUUGACGGGGUCGAACGUGCGGUGUGCGAAGAGCGCUUGGUAAUGACGGUACCGGUCGAAGAAGCCACGGCUAACUACGUG
This 508-nucleotide ribosomal RNA is filed under the name uncultured bacterium. RNAcentral's name for it is "partial 16S ribosomal RNA". It matches the Rfam family "Bacterial small subunit ribosomal RNA", at positions 28 to 507 of the family's 1533-position model. The record is from RNAcentral.